UGGGGAAUAUUGCACAAUGGGCGAAAGCCUGAUGCAGCGACGCCGCGUGAGGGAUGACGGCCUUCGGGUUGUAAACCUCUUUCAGCAGGGAAGAAGCGCAAGUGACGGUACCUGCAGAAGAAGCACCGGCUAACUACGUGCCAGCAGCCGCGGUAAUACGUAGGGUGCGAGCGUUGUCCGGAAUUAUUGGGCGUAAAGAGCUUGUAGGCGGUUUGUCGCGUCUGCUGUGAAAAUCCGGGGCUCAACUCCGGACUUGCAGUGGGUACGGGCAGACUAGAGUGUGGUAGGGGAGACUGGAAUUCCUGGUGUAGCGGUGGAAUGCGCAGAUAUCAGGAGGAACACCGAUGGCGAAGGCAGGUCUCUGGGCCACUACUGACGCUGAGAAGCGAAAGCAUGGGGAGCGAACA
Molecule: ribosomal RNA, 407 nt
Filed under: uncultured Janibacter sp.
Lineage: Bacteria; Bacillati; Actinomycetota; Actinomycetes; Micrococcales; Intrasporangiaceae
Description: bacterial SSU rRNA
Rfam family: Bacterial small subunit ribosomal RNA
Source: RNAcentral